This is a long non-coding RNA of Hyaena hyaena (striped hyena), 374 nucleotides long. RefSeq lists it as uncharacterized. Lineage: Eukaryota; Metazoa; Chordata; Mammalia; Carnivora; Hyaenidae. The transcript has 2 exons. The record is from RefSeq and is a predicted model, not a curated record.
CUGAGACCCGCGCCCGCAGCUUUUAAAAUUUCCCCUCCUGGAGCCCCUGGCGCUGUGGAGGAAAAGGCGAAGGUGGCGCCUGCCACUCUCCCCCCCGAGAGAACUUCAGAGGGCUUCCAAACUCGAGUCAAACCAGAUGCCUGCCCCUCGGGUCGAAGCAGCCGCUCGCGCACAGGGUCUGGGCCGCCGGUUCGCCGCCUCCGCGUGGGACCCCGCCCUGACUGCUGACCCUGAGCUGGCAGUAGAAGUUAAGACCGUCUAUGAAAGUGAUUUGGUGUUACUUCUGUAUGGGUAAAGACCAGAAUCAUGGAUAAAGACAAAGAAAUCGAAAUCUGAUGGCUCCCACAAAGUAGAAAUUAAAAUUAUUAAAAUUA